AUGGCGGAUGAUGAUGGACCUUGGUAUACCGGAUUAAUCGAUGAGUGGGAUAAGGAGCAUCGUGCUCGUGCCAUUGAGAAUGGAAAGCUUGUAGUUGCUAUGCGCAUGAGGGGUCAUUCCGCUGAUGGCUUUACUUACGACCCGCGGUACGAGCCUUAUAUUCGGAGAUUGGGUCUUCUCCCAUUCGUGUUGCAGUUUAAGCGACGCGCUCCGCCGGUGAACCACGCGGCGUUGACCGCACUUGUGGAUCGUUGGAGGCGGGAGACUCACUCGUUCCACCUUCCAUGUGGGGAGCUGACGAUGACCCUAGAGGACAUGGCUAUGAUAAGCGGCCUUCCUAUCGACGGACAAGCUGUUACCGGUCGUGUCAGCGUCGUUAAUUGGCGAGAACGGACAGGCAUUUUAAUUGGUGUUCAGCCCGACGACCCUCAAGAAGGCAAGGCCGAUACCGCGAGAGUGAGGCAUUCUUGGCUAAAACUAGUCAGAGGAGACACCAAUCCGUGCCCUCAGGGUGCCAAUGACGUGGUUGUGCAGCAGUACGCGCGGGCCUAUCUUUGGUAUGUACUAACCAAGGUAGUCUUCUCAGAUGCAACCGGGAACUCAGCCCUCUGGAUGUUCUUGGAGCUACUCAAUAACUGGGAUACCCAGUAUAGCUGGGGUUCGGCUGCACUAGCAUAUUUGUAUCGUCAGCUUGACUUGGCGUGUCGGAGGAAGGGAGAUACAUCCUCAUUGUCUGGGUUUGUUUGGAGUCUAUCCGUGUGGAUGUGGGAGCGGAUCCCGGUUGGACGGCCCGAUUUCAAGAACCCCCUCAUGGCAAACCCACGGGGUAAUCAUGACGGGUUGCAUGAUGAUGAUCCAUAUCGGCGCCCUACGCUUGCUUACUAUUGGGAACAAGUGACAGUCUACACAGGAAGCUCGCAUGUGCGAUACAAGUGCUAUAUGAACGAGCUGGACACCUUGACUGCUGAGCAGGUAUAUUGGUUGCCUUAUGUGGAAGAUCGUGACUUUGAUCUUAAUGAGAUGUGCACGCGUGAUAGCCAUCUUUAG
This 1047-nucleotide ribosomal RNA is filed under the name Triticum aestivum (bread wheat). Its description in RNAcentral is "partial small subunit ribosomal RNA". The record is from RNAcentral. Lineage: Eukaryota; Viridiplantae; Streptophyta; Magnoliopsida; Poales; Poaceae.